Molecule: long non-coding RNA, 2150 nt
Filed under: Lactuca sativa (garden lettuce)
Lineage: Eukaryota; Viridiplantae; Streptophyta; Magnoliopsida; Asterales; Asteraceae
Description: long non-coding RNA (LSAT_LNC002360)
Source: RNAcentral
UCCUUAGCUCACAUGUUAGUUACAGUUACUUAAAAUGACAUAGUAACACUAAAAUCACCAACAAAUGUGUUGUGUGAGGGAAAGUUUGAAGGUGGUCUGUGAAGAAGAAGAUGAUGAUGAAGGCGAAAAACAAAGACGUAGGAUGGAGAUAAUAAAAGUGAGAACGGAGAGAUGAGACGUAGGUCACGUAGCCAUGGAAGUUGGAAUUAGUUAAGAAAAGGCGGACUGUUGGAAAGGUUUUAUUCUUGACUUUUUAUUGUGCAUUACUAUUUAUAGCAAACUAAAUCUCAUUUUUGUGGUGCAUAGGUGCAUUACUCUUUCUUUUUUCUUUAAUAAUAAAGAUUAUAUAUUCCAAAAAUAAAGAUUAUAUAUUUCAAAAAGUCUUGGUCUUAGUAUUAUGCAUGAUUUGGUGGCUGGUGCGGUCAUAUCUUUGACUCACAUACCAUCUGAUUAGUCCUCUUUCCAAAAUCAUCAGAGUCUUGUUGUCUUGUUUUAUGGAUAGGACAAUUUGCCUAGAACACAUUUCGUUAACCAAAAGAAAGAAAGAAAAAUCAAGAUGAUAAAAACACCAAACCAUAAACUAAAGUUACAAUUCAUCCCCAAUUAUAUAUAAUUCAUUUACUAUAGUGUAACUAUAUUUUCGAAGUCUAUGACUUAAGACUUAUCUUAUUAUAGUCUCGUAUUAUAGAUUAACACCAAAUUCAUAGCUGGAAAGUAACGUAAUGUUUUCCUUUUGGAUUCUUUAGUUGCAUUUCUUCUUCACGAAACCAAAUCUUCCAUUUUCCAAAUCAUACUCCACGUAUAUAUCCUGCUGUUGGUAAUUUCCUAUGAUUAUCGACGGCCCACCAUUCAACUUGAUUGGAAGGAUCGUCAUACACGCCACGCCGGGCUCCACCUGAGAGAAGUAAUCGGCCAUCGGCAGUGAUAAUUUCGCUCCGCCUUCAAAAUCAAACAUUAGCUCGGGAAACACCGGCGGCUUGUCUCCAAUGGUGUAACACAACGGCGACUCCUUAUCAGUAGUGUUAAUUCUUUUAUACUUGUACAUUUGAACUUCAAACUCUUUUGCUACAAGAUCGUAGAUAGGAUAAUCCAUGAUCGUGAAUGUUGUGCCGGAAUCGAUGAUGGUUCCCCCGUUGCCAUCAGAUCCGGGCACCAAUAAACGAUCUGGGAUAUUUACAUCUUUGCCACCGAUGGUGAUUUUCUGGAGGCUUAAGUAGUAGAAUCCUUCAAAUCUUGAAGGAUUCUUAAGGAACUUGGUGUAGCUGAUCAUCAUACCUCCAUCUCCGGCGCCGGAACUUGAAGAAUCCCGAUACAGAACAAGCUCACUGCUGACAGUCUGAUUGUCAUCGAACUGAUGAGAGACUAAACAAUAUGAGAACUUUUUAAGACCCAUCUGAGCGGGUAAAGAGUCGGGUCGACGUCCAAACCCGAGAAUUCCCUCAGGUAGUCCUGCGGAUAAAACUGAGCAUCCGACAGCGAAAUCAGUGACAUCCCCCUCAAGGAGAUGCAACGUCUCCGACAGCAGUACUCCAGCUGUUAACCCAGACCCAUACACUUGCUCGUAAGAACAAACCUGUUUGGUGGCGUUGCAUUGAAUUGUCUCAGGUGUCCGAGAGACCCACCCACAUUUGGUGUUAUUACAACCCAGAAUUUUAACAGAGGAUGAAUGUUUGGGCAUGAAUACGGGGAGUAAGGAGGAGGAGGAGGAGGGACAAUCAUAACAUGUGUAACGAUCAGUACAUGGGAACCAGACAAGGCUGCUUCCAGUAUCCAUGAGAAAGGAUAGUUUUUGAGAGGGUGAUCCGAAACUCAGAGGAACCGAGUAGUAUCCGCCAUUUCCCCGAGGAAAGAGAGGGACUUCGGAGGUGGAGUUGUUGGGGUUUUUCAGGAGGUGGGCUCUGGCUAGAGAAGAAGAUACGAGGUAGUUUAAGGUCCGAAACAAUGGAUGUUGGAUGGUUUCGAAUUCUCCAGAAGGUACUGCAAUGUGUUGUGUGAGGGAAAGUUUGAAGGUGGUCUGUGAAGAAGAAGAUGAUGAUGAAGGUGAAAAACAGAGACAGAGGAUGGAGAUAAGAGUGAGAAUGGAGUGAUGAAAAGUGGCCAUGGAAGUGGAAUUAGUUAAGAAAAAGGCGGGCUGGAGACGUGUUUCAUUC